CAGAAGUCAGGUCGGAUUAAGCCAUAGUACGGAAAAAACUAUGCUACCUGUGAGCCCCGUCCAAGGACGUUAAAAGAAGUCAGGCCACCACAAGUGCCAUAGCUUGAGUAAACUAUGCAGCCUGUAGCUCCACCUGAGAAGGUGUAAAAAAUCUGGGAGGCCACAAACCAUGGAAGCUGUACGCAUGGCGUAGUGGACUAGCGGUUAGAGGAGACCCCUCCCUUACAAAUCGCAGCAACAAUGGGGGCCCAAGGUGAGAUGAAGC
This 265-nucleotide long non-coding RNA is filed under the name dengue virus type 2. RNAcentral describes it as "Dengue virus 2 partial sfRNA1". The stretch from base 156 to 227 matches the Rfam family "Flavivirus DB element". Lineage: Riboviria; Orthornavirae; Kitrinoviricota; Flasuviricetes; Amarillovirales; Flaviviridae. The record is from RNAcentral.